CCCAGUAGUAGUCAGCUGUACAGGCCAGCCCCAUGCCUGAGUUAGUGUUACACUGCUGGGAGAGAAAGGCUCAGCUAAUGUAGCUUGGUCCAGCAGACACUGUUUUAGUGGCUGUUGGUGCUGAGCUGUAGCGGAGCUGUGCCCCUCUGACUGAGUGGGCUGUACCCACACUGGGGCAACCCUAGUAGAAGGGCUAACAAA
Oncorhynchus mykiss (rainbow trout) is the source of this 201-nucleotide small nucleolar RNA. Its record names the gene SNORA74. It matches the Rfam family "Small nucleolar RNA SNORA74". Rfam says of the family: U19 belongs to the H/ACA class of snoRNAs. snoRNAs bind a number of proteins (including dyskerin, Gar1p and Nop10p in the case of the H/ACA class) to form snoRNP complexes. This class are thought to guide the sites of modification of uridines to pseudouridines by forming direct base pairing interactions with substrate RNAs. NCBI's taxonomy places the organism in Eukaryota, Metazoa, Chordata, Actinopteri, Salmoniformes, Salmonidae. The record is from Ensembl.